CGAGGGGAGUGAAAAAGAACCUGAAACCGUGUACGUACAAGCAGUGGGAGCACGCUUAGGCGUGUGACUGCGUACCUUUUGUAUAAUGGGUCAGCGACUUAUAUUCUGUAGCAAGGUUAACCGAAUAGGGGAGCCGAAGGGAAACCGAGUCUUAACUGGGCGUUAAGUUGCAGGGUAUAGACCCGAAACCCGGUGAUCUAGCCAUGGGCAGGUUGAAGGUUGGGUAACACUAACUGGAGGACCGAACCGACUAAUGUUGAAAAAUUAGCGGAUGACUUGUGGCUGGGGGUGAAAGGCCAAUCAAACCGGGAGAUAGCUGGUUCUCCCCGAAAGCUAUUUAGGUAGCGCCUCGUGAAUUCAUCUCCGGGGGUAGAGCACUGUUUCGGCAAGGGGGUCAUCCCGACUUACCAACCCGAUGCAAACUGCGAAUACCGGAGAAUGUUAUCACGGGAGACACACGGCGGGUGCUAACGUCCGUCGUGAAGAGGGAAACAACCCAGACCGCCAGCUAAGGUCCCAAAGUCAUGGUUAAGUGGGAAACGAUGUGGGAAGGCCCAGACAGCCAGGAUGUUGGCUUAGAAGCAGCCAUCAUUUAAAGAAAGCGUAAUAGCUCACUGGUCGAGUCGGCCUGCGCGGAAGAUGUAACGGGGCUAAACCAUG
This 660-nucleotide ribosomal RNA is filed under the name Escherichia coli. Its description in RNAcentral is "partial 23S ribosomal RNA". It matches the Rfam family "Bacterial large subunit ribosomal RNA", at positions 530 to 1191 of the family's 2925-position model. Lineage: Bacteria; Pseudomonadati; Pseudomonadota; Gammaproteobacteria; Enterobacterales; Enterobacteriaceae. The record is from RNAcentral.